Molecule: long non-coding RNA, 718 nt
Filed under: Chinchilla lanigera (long-tailed chinchilla)
Lineage: Eukaryota; Metazoa; Chordata; Mammalia; Rodentia; Chinchillidae
Description: lncRNA (ENSCLAG00000024664.1)
Source: RNAcentral
UUGAUACAAGCAUAAUAAUUUUUCAAAGAUCUAUGAGUAUUAGGAGAAAGUAAGGUGAAUUUAUGAGGGCCAUAAAAAUCCCUACUUAAUCGCUAUAACCAAAUUUUAAAUUUGCUUUCCUGCAGCCAAUGACUAUGAAAAGUGGAGCUUAGUACAGGAAUAGCAUGAAGGAUGUUUUGAUGCCACUUGGUGAUCUGUAAACUAACAGCUUUAAGGUGGAGGCUGAACGGACACAGCCAAGUGAGUCACAAACAAGCCCAAAAGUCGGCCCAUCAUAAAUAAGCCAACAAAGAAGCAAGAGGCUCUUUUGGAAGAAUUUACUGCAGUUGCAAGACAAAGCAGAUGAAGGAAGACAAAAAUUUACCAAUGAGCUACACUGUUUGGAUUUAUGACUCGACAGUUGGAUGUACAACCUGCACUGGACUUAAAGCACGGGAAUGUGAAUCACAUUGUGGCCUUAUGGUGGCUUCUUCUGUGAGCACACAUCAUCUACUUUUCAUAAAAGAUUUCCUAAAAGGAGAGGAUAAACUUCCAGCAUUUGGGACAGGACAGAAGGAAUCUUUUGUGUUGGCUGGUGGAGGAGAUGCAAGGAUGGGAGAUGGUGAGACUCAGCACUACUGAAGGUCCAGGCAAUGACUCAAACCCAAAGUGAGCACCCAGAUAUUUUAAAGAUUCUUGAAAGGUUUAAAUGGAAGCAUAAUCACAAAAUAAAAAAUCC